UACUGUUUACUAUAACUCCUUUCAGUCGAUAAAUAACAGUGAUAAUAAAGCUACCACACUCUAAAAUGUACAUUGAAAGAAAUGUUAUUAUUGCCUGAGAAUUUAUUGAAUAAAGGAAAGCAGUAACAUUAGCAUGCUAGAGCUAACACAAUGAAGAAAAUUGAACGAAUUUGUAAUUUAUCAAGUCAUACUGUUUGAUAGUCUCUAUUCUGGAGAAGUCCAAGUGUAGAAAGCCUUGCCACAUAUGGACGUAUCACUUCCAAUAGCCGUUUGUUAAUAUCAACAGCUUCUUUCCCCAAUGCAACCUAGGAACAUUUCAUAGAAUAUGUCAAAUUCAUUGGUAAAUACAAAUAUCCAACAAUAAUUUUUUAAAGAGCCACAGCAGACCAUACCUCAAUUAGUUCAAUCUUUCUGUCAUGAACAUAUGGAAUAACAUCAGGAUCACUUUCAUUACGAUAUUCAAGAGCUGAUAUCUGUAAGUUAUCAAUGAUAUGCUGGACAGCCGGCUGUUUUGCUAAACAAUUUGCAUUUAACAUAAGAGUUUUCAGAUGUCGUGGCUACUUUUAUAAUGAACCUAAUUAGAUUAUUUGUAACUUACAUCCUGGAGUCGCAGUCAAUGCUAAUAUUCUCAGUUGCACUGGUAUGGCCAACAACUACAAAACAAGAUUAUCAAAUAGUAUCUCAAACCAGUAAUUUAUUGCCAGUAACAACAAAAACUAAAGAAAAUAGAGCAACAAACCUCGCGAAUUGCUACACAGUAAGAAUAAUUUCCUGAUGCUCUAUGAGCCUCAUCAAUUACCAAACAAACCAAGUGUUUUGCCAGACAUGUUCCUGAAAGUUGCUCCGUGUGAGAAAACUAUUGAUGGAAUAAACGAAAGAAAUACAAUGCAACGACAGCUGGAAAUCUCAGGACAUAUAUUUUCACAUAUUCUGUAUGAAAAAAAAAAAAAACAAAGUCUUCCAUCUUCCUUAACAAAAUUCUUAUUCACUCGAAAAAUUCACAUAUCAUAACCAUUUUAUGUUCACAUAGUUUCCAUGUAAAAUAUAUUAAGGUGUAACCUUUUUGUAGUUAGGAGUAUUAUGGCGUUACUAAGAAUAUUACCAGAUUGAAUAUCCUUUUCCAGCACUUGUGGAGUAACAAAGAAAACUCGUUUAGUUUUCCAAAAACAUGCCCUUUUUGUAGGGCAUACCUGGCCGGUCAUAUCAAUUGUCCACUCCUGCAAUCAGUUUAUUACAAUAACCGUGACAAACUAAAGUUCCCAACCGAAAACCAAUAUGUAAGCAAAGCAUUCCAUUGACAACUAAAUUCAACAUCUUACUUGUGGUAUCCCCACAAUAUUAUGGCAUGCUUCUAUUUGUUGCAUCACAAGCGGUCGAGAAGGAGCAGCAAAAACUAUUUUACCUGCAAUGAAAUACGAAUACACAUCAUACCUAUCAAACAUUCAAACCUAUCAAACAUAGGACGCCCACGGCAUUAACUGCUUUCAAGUUAACUCAUUGUACUAAUUCACUCACCACUAGAUUUUUUCCCUAACCCAUAGCCUUCCAUCAAAUCUACAAGAUAUGAUGAAACAUCCAUGCAAUUGAUAGUAAAAACCAAAUUAAAUUGUAUUGAAUUGACAAAAGAUCAAUCUGAUAACAAUUAUUUUAAUUAUAAAAUAAACCGAAUUAAAUUAUUUUAUUUUAAUAAUAAACCGAACCCGAUUGAAUCGAUUAACCAACACAUUUUAUGGUUCAAACUAUAGUUGGGUUCUAAUAAAAAAUUGUGCAUUUACUGAAGCAUCCGUGUGGAGAGAUUUACCAUCAGGAAACCAUCUGAAGUAGUUAUACAUAACAACAGCAGCAAUAAGCGUCUUUCCGAGCCCAGUUGGCAAUGCAACCAAUGUGUUUGUAAAUAAUGCGGUCUUUGUUAUAGCUAAUUGAUAUUCCCGGAGAGGUACAUUGACUGUAAUAUAAGAAUCGAUAGCCAUAUUUAUCAUCCAGAAAAUAAAAUAAAAAAAUCUCUAAAAACAAUAAAAUUAUUCCUUCAAAACCCAAAAUUUCACAAACACCUUUUUUGCCUAAACCCCCCUAAAUUAAUAGAAGAAGCAUUGAAAGAGAAAAGGUGUUAAAGACCUGGGUAAAUCCAAGUUUUAGCUGCCUCGGCAUCAAUCUCAACGCAACACGGCCUCCCAUCACUGUUGAAGAUGCCAUUACCCUGAUGAUGUCGGACCUCAACCGUUGGCUUCACCGGCGGAUUCGCUCUGCCAAUAAACUUAUCGAGCGUGGAUUGCUUGGAAGUCGCAGUCUUUGUACAUGAAUAAUAAGAAGAAUUAUUAAGAAUAUUAACGGGAGGGGUAAAAUUGGAAGAAGAAGCUUGAUUAAUUGUAGUAGAUGAAGGGUUAUUUGCUCUUUCACAAGCGGAAUCGAUUUCUCUGACUGCUGCCUCCCAAUCAAAUUCCUGCAAGCAACAGAGUGAGUGAAGUUAGAGAGAGAGAAUUUAGUGAAAGAUUGAUUGCUGGAUUGGAGGUUUAAGGAAACAGAAUUGAAGAAGUUACGUCGUCGUCGUCGAUUAUUUGGAAAGGAACUGUUGAUUUCAUUUUCAAAUUCACAACAAUCUUUGUUUUUUUUUUUGGAUUUGGAUUUGGCAGAGAGAUGCAGAGAAAGGGAGGAAGGUGAUUGAUUGGCGGCAAAACUUGAAAAGUUAAUUUUAGCUUCAGCUUGUAGGUGUAUGUACGAGAUUCUGUUUUAUUAUAAUAUUUUUAUUUUUAAUUUAAAUUUAUUAAAAAAUAUUUUUUUGAUAUUUUUUAAAAGUAAAUAAAUCAUGUUUGAAAAUAUGUUAAAGUUGUGUUUUGAGUUGUUUUUUUACUCGAAAAUAUUUAAAUAAUUUUUUAUUUUUUAAAAUUUAUUUUUUACAUCAACACUUUAAAAUAAUAAAAAAACUAAAAAAAUUAAUUUUAAACAAUUUUUUUUUCAAAUUUUAAACUAACAACGUUUUAACUGCAUUAUCAAACACACCGAUAAAAAACACUUUCCUGUGUUUUUGUGUUUAAAAAUAUUUUUGAAAAAAUUUAAACUAUUUUUUAUUUUUUUUUCUUUGUUUCAAAUUAAUAUUUUUUUAGUGCUUUUAGAUCAUUUUGAUGCGCUGAUGUCAAAAAUAAUUUUUAAAAAUAAAAAAAAAAUAUUUUGAUAUAUUUCCCAAUAAAAGCACUUUGAAAAGCAACAGCAACCACACUCUCAAACAUACUCAGUUCUAAAGAUGAUCUUUAGUAUAUUACAAUCCUAAAGAUGAUCUUUAGUAUAUCACAUAACAGCUAGUUAUUUAAGUCCAAGAUAUAUAUUUUAAUUUAUAAAAUAAAAUUUUUUAAAAAUAUAAAAUUAUAAUUUUUACGUCAAGCUAUAAUUUUAUAAUUUUUCCUAUUUGAUUCCAAAUCACAAUGACAUAAACCCAAAAUCACAUGUAAAAUAUGCAAGAAUGUGUGUGUGUUAAAGAGAUGCUGAUAACCGAAAGAUAAGUCUUUUUCCUAUUUGUUUUUGUGUCUCUCUCUGAAUCAGGAAAUAUAAAAGUGUUGAAGGUAGGGUUUUGUUCAUAUGGUCGGCGUAUUAAUGGGCUUUAUAUUUCCUGAAUAGUUGAUUUCAGAACCAUAAUUAUAUUUCCUGAAUAGUUGAUUUAGAACCCUAAUUUCUAAUUUUUAACACUUUCAGCCAACAACUAGGGUUUGCCCCUAUUCUACAACCCCGCCCGAGAGAAUACUUUGGAGAUUGCAAGUAUAAAUAAAGUCUGUCUUUAUUGGAACUUUUGUUAACUUCUACUUUGUUUAUUUAGGUGCCUGAAAUCCUAUUUUAAAUUUACAAUGGCCGUGCAGCUGUCAGACGACAUGAUAAUUGAAAUUCUAUGUCGAUUACCAGUAAAGAUGGUGAUGAGAUUGAAUGCUGUAUCAAAAGCAUGGCAUCGUCUCAUAUCUAAUGUUUGUGCCUCGCUAUUCUCGGCCGCGGCGGCGGCCCAUCCUUCAGGCUUUUUGUUCCUCUGUUCUUUUCAAAAAAUUGGUGGGUUGGGAUACUUUGCUGCGUAUGCUAGCUAUCCCGAUGUUCAUGAUUGCUUGCGUGGGCCAGACCGAUGGAUUUGUGGAUUCGUAUGCUUGUAUGUUGCCCUUCAUGCUUUCUUCUGAUCAUUAUUUUGAUUGUUGUAAUGGGUUGCUCUUGUUUGUUAGAAGAGAGCAACGAGAGGCUCUUCCGCAUUAUUAUUUUGUUUGCAACACCACUACCAGACAAUGCAUUGCAAUUCCUAAUCCCCGUCCACGAACUGCUCCAUUCGCCGCUGCAAUUGCCUAUGAUCCUGCCAAAUCUCCUCACUACAAAGUUGUUCGCUUUAUUUAUUUUGAAGAAAAAAACUUCUUGCCCGGUAAAGGUGGAUAUAUUUUCUUCCGAUACCGGAAAGUGGGUUAGGCGCCGGGUCAUGUUAUCCACCGAACUUCCUCAUGCUGCUGCUGAUGCAGAUGAGUAUGGUUGUAUCAGGCGUUCUAUUUAUUUGGAUGGAAUGAUUUACAAGCUAUCCUUUGUCGUCAACUACCUCAUCAGGUUUGACUUAAAUGCGCCGAGCGAUGUGGCUAUUGAACUCCCGCACAAGAAUGCCGCUGACCGCCAUGGAUUCAUUGGGAUGUCUAGAGGAAGCUUGUAUUAUUCAUAUCAUGACGAGUCUGGAUUGAUGAUCUCCAUUUGGCUUUUGGAAGACCGUUGCAAACGUGAUCCUUUUUGGAAACUCACACAUCGCAUCUCAGUGGACUCCUUGACGUCCAAAUAUCCUGACGUGCGUAAUUCAGGCUUUCAUUUUCAUACAUAUGCUAUUCAUCCAGCUUCUGAUAUUAUUUUUCUUGGAAACCCUACCAUGGUCAUAAGUUACGAUCUUAAAUCCAACAAAUCCGAAGAGGUUUUUACAUUGUCUAGCGGAUUAAAAAUAUCAUCGGGCCAGCAUUUUGUACACCUCUACUCUCCCUGUUAUGCUGUUUUGAGUAAUUUUGAUAAUAAUUGUGGUUAAUAGUCCAGUUGUAAGCAAUCUUUUUAUAAAAACUAUUUAUCCGUGCUCUCUGAGAUGGCUAGUUAUGGAAUCCAAAACUUCAGGAAAGCUGUUUUACAUUGAUGCUCUGUAUUCUAUUUUUUGAAUUGACGUGCUGGUUUGAUUAAUUUGUUGUAAACUAAAACUGCUAAUUCUUUGCUUAAUUUGUUGUUUAAGAUACAAACUUUUUCGGCAUUUGUUUUCUUCUUUCUUUCUUUCUUUGCUUUUUAUUUAACAGAUUGCUAAUGAAAAAGAUAUGGGGUAAGAACAAGUGUAUACUUUUUUAAGGUUGUUGCCGGGAUCAGGCCAAAUGGGGGAUUUUGGGGUUAGUUCUACAAAAUCAAUGGGAUUAAUGGAGGCUUGGAAAAAAGUGAGUAAUUCUUUAGUACAUAGGAAAACAAUUUUCACAUCUAGUUAAUUCUUUCUUGUGAUUUGCAGUCUUUAAUUUUUUAAUGUUUCUGUUUUUCGUUCUUAUUUCCUUUUUUUUUUUAGUUCAAAAAUCUUGGGUAUCUUAAUGGAUAACACUAUGUUCAAGCAUCAUUUGUUCCAAUAAAUGUAAAAAGAAAAAAAACAAGUCAUUAACGAUAACUAAAGACUAAACUGAAGAAAUCAAGAGAUAUAUAUAGAUUAAGAUAUUUAAUUUAGUAACGCAAGAUAACUAAUUGAGACAGAUGAUUGGAAUUUCACCAUGUCACGUUUUAGAAACACCCUAUUUACUAAAUGUAGUUAUUCAUAAAAGCGACAACUAUCUUUUUAUUGUUCAGAAUAACAAUAUUUUGUAAAUGUCAUGCUUUUAAAUCGUGACAGGGUGAAAAUAUACUAUUUCACAAAAUCUUUUUUGAACGGUGUUAUUCGUCAUGUUUUUACUAUCAUUGUGCUAAUUGUUUUUUUUUAAUAAAAAAAAAAACUUGAAAGGGAAGAAGAGAAGCAUAAUUGAAAAUUCGAACUUCUCGGCGUUCCUUAAUAUUCCUAGAUGCCCCCAUUAAUCGCCCUUAUUGAAUGCUAUUAUGCAAAAAUGAAUGCAUUUAUUGUAGCAGGCCAGCCACUCAAGUUAAGUUCCGUGGCAAUGAAAUUGAGAAAUGUAUUGGACUCUGCUUUGAAGGGAAAGGAUGUUGAUCCUCAAAUUGUAUGGACGGACUUUGAAAUAGUGAAUGGAAAUGCAAGAAUCAAAGAGAAGUCAACAGGUGCCAGUAACGAAAAGUCAAUAGAUGCAGCAGCCUUUUUCCUGUAAUCGGCAGUAAAAGGAACUCAUAAGCAUCAAAUAAAAAGCUAAGGGAUCGAAAUGAAACUCGAACUUUUAGUCUUUUUCAUGAAGAGCCACGGGUUUUUAGUCCUUCUCAUUUCCCCAUCUCAAACUUUUAUUUUGCAUUGUUUGGUUUUGUUAGUCCAAAUUAACCUUCCAUUGCAUUUUUUUGUCUAGGAGAGAGGGCUGAAUUGAAAGCUAAGGGAUUGAAAUGAAACUCUUAGAUAACAUGGAGGGCAAGAUGAAAGUCUUGUUGAAACACUCAUUUUAAUUCUUUAUAUUUUUUAAAUAUUAGAUGACCAACCCCUUGAAUUUGAAGACAAUACAUUUCCGUACCUAUCUUCAUUUUUCUCCUUUUUCAGUCCUUUUUUGUUGGGAGAACAGAGAGAGAGAGUCGUCGGAUUCAGGCUUAAACAGAAAAAGUGGUCACCGAGGAAGAUUUUGGCCACCAUUACGGUUGAUUUUUGUGUCAAAAUAUUUUAUAUGAUAAGGGGGGUUACGUUUAGGUGUUUGUUUACCUUGAAAACAAAAACAACAUAUCUAAGCUCGAGAAUAAUUUUUGUUUCGGGUAGAUUUCGGGUUUUGGGGCAUUUAAUUGGCUUUUUGAUUGGCAUAAAUUGGUUUAACAAGGUCUCUAGGGUGUUUUCUAGGUGUUCUGAGUUAAAAAUGGGUUAAAAAUAAGAUUUUGAGUAGGGGUGUGCAUUUUUGGUUCGGUCCGGUUUUGAGCCAAAAUAAAUAACCAAACCAAAAUUAUUUUUUUCAAGUUUUUGAACCGAACCGAAAACCGGUUCGAACCAAUCAUGUUCGGUUCAGUUUGGUUCGGUUUUUUUUCCUUCCAAACCGGUUCGUCUUAUUUCUAUUUUCAUAGUUUUGUGCCUAUUUUCUGAUAAAUCUUGGUUUUCUCAACAAGCUAAACAAGAUAAUAUCAAGAAAUCCAACCCCAAUUUUCUUUUUGUUAGAUCCUUGCUCAAAAAUUAAUCUCUGCGCAAAAGAUACACAAAACAAAAGGAAAGAAAAGAAGCCAUUUGACUGGAAAAAAAAAAAGUGAAAAUCAAAAGAUAUGAAUUAUUCAAAUGUAAAACCAGAACGAGAGGAAACCAAUUGCAAAUUUUUACAUAGAUCCACACCAUCUAUUGAGUGUGUGGUGUUUUUAUGCUCGGUUUCUUCAAUAAAUAACCAAACUCGAUGUCCAAUCUUCAACUGGUUUGACAUAACAAAUCUUCUCACAAUACCAACAUCAAGAAAAUCAAAGAAAAACCUUUUACUAGUUUGACAUAACAAUCUUCUUUAUGGGUAUGAAAAAUGACAUAACAAGUACAAGGUUAAAAGCAAAUGUAAAAGUAAAGAAAGACGUGCCUGAACUAAAAGAAUUAAAAUCAGAAGUAAAGAAAGGUGUGAUAGGAGGACAAAUGAGCAUGGAGCAAUAGGAGCCUAACAAUUCCUAACAAUUAUGGGAUGUGGAGUACAGAGGAAAAUCAGAGAGAAGAGAGAGUGAGAGACGCAGAGAGCAAAGGGAGGGGUGACUGUCUUUAGAGAAUGUUACUUUAGGUUUAGGGUUACAAAAAAAUAUCUUAUUUAUCCUUGUUUUUUUUAAGUGCUGGCCUGGUUGAACCGGUUCGGUUCAAUCGAUUUCAGACUUUGAAAACCGAAACCAAACCAAACCGGAUUUUUUUGUGAUUUUUAAUCGGUUAAUUCAGUUUUUUUUUUGUUUUUUCAGUUUAAUCAGUUAUUCGAUUUUUUUGCUCACCCUUAAUUUUGAGUAGAAAAAACAAAGGACCUUGAUUUUUCGGGCACCAUAGUGUCUGAAUACUGGGUUUCCCAGUCGACGCAUCCUCUUUUUUUGAAAUAUUUGGGGUGGAUCACAAUGCAUUGCCCGCCCUAUUAAACCUUCUUUUAAAAAAUAAAGGCUCAUGCUUGGGCCUAACUUUGCAUGCCCGCCCACAUGUUGUUGCUUUAUUGGGUUGGCCUUGGGUUUGGCUUACCAAGCCCAACAACGCCAGACCUUUUUCUGUUUUUAUUCUUCUUUUUUUUAUUUUUAAUUCAUUUUUUUUUAUUAUGUUUUGAUGUUUGUUCCUGUGAUUGUUUUUAUUUUUUUCCUUGAAUAUUUUAUGAAAGUUUCAUUAUUUUCAGUUUUACCUUUCAAUCCAAGUUUAUAGUGUAUUUUUUUCUUUGUCCUUUUGAUUUUUGUCAUUUUGUUAUGUUUUUAUUCUUUUCAAUUUAACUCUCAAAUGAAAAAUUUGUUGUUGCCUUUUUAUUUAGUUUUUAUUGCAAUUUUAACAUUCAUUAUUUUUAUUAUAUUUUUUAUUUUGGAUUUUUUUGUGUUGUUUUUUUGUGUUUUUAACCCUCAUGAUUUUUUUGUAUAUAGUGCUUUCAGUAUUAUAACCUGAGUCAUGGUUUAAAAAGUUAACACUAAUUGACUUUUUUGUUUUAUUUUUUAUAUUCUUUUUUUUAUGAAAUUAUCAUAUUCUCAUUUAAUUUUUGUUUUGUUAAUAAAUAAGUUCAUUGAGAUGUUUUUGGAAUAUUGUUGUAAAACCCCAACAAAUUAUAAUUAAAAUUUAAGAGUACUGAGUGGAAAUUAUAUGUAGUCAAAUAUGAUCACAAGACAUAAAAAUAAAUAUAUGUAUGAGAAUUGGGCGAAUAAUUCUACAUGAUAAGAUUUUACUAUAAAACUGUUGAAAUAUAUUAAUAGUUUAGUUAUGAUACGGAAUUAUUAUUCAAUAAAUUUAUGUGUGUCAGUUUCUAUUAUAAAUUUUAUAUAUUUUCAUAUUACAAAUUUAUUUUGAUAGAGAAAUUCAUUAAAUACAAUCAAGUAAAUUACCCGUAUUGCGAUAUUAGAUAUCUUGAUCCUUAUUUUUCGCUUGGUUUUCUCAAUUUCAUUUUUGUUUAAUGUUGAUGAUUUUUUUCAUUGUUUUACACAAAUGAUUAUUGGGUUGUUUAAUUAGAUGUGUGUAUAAAUUUUUCAAUUUAUAUCUAGAAUUUUUUUUAUUGUAAAAAACACAUUGAGGAAUUCUGUAUAUUCUUUUUUUUUAUUAUGUUUUGAUGUUUAGGAUUUGAUGUUUGUUCCCGUGAUUGUUUUUAUUUUUUUCCUUGAAUAUUUUAUGAAAGUUUCAUUAUUUUCAGUUUCACCUUUCAAUCCAAGUUUAUAGUGUAUUUUUUUUCUUUGUCCUUUUGAUUUUUGUCAUUUUGUUAUGUUUUUAUUCUUUUCAAUUUAACUCUCAAAUGCAAAAUUUGUUGUUGCCUUUUUAUUUAGUUUUUAUUGCAAUUUUAACAUUCAUUAUUUUUAUUAUAUUUUUUUAUUUUAGAUUUUUUUGUGUUGUUUUUUUGUUAUUUUAACCCUCACGAUUUUUUUAUAUAUAGUGCUUUCAGUAUUAUAACCUGAGUCAUGGUUUAAAAAGUUAACAUUAAUUGGUCAAUUUGUAUUCUCGAUAGAAAUUAGAGGAAAAGAUAUAAAAAAAAACCCCUAACAUGGCCAUCUUAGGGUUUGUAUGGGAAAAAAAUGGUCAUAUUACGAACUGAAAUGAGGUUUGGUUGAGUUGAUGAAGUGUCUUGUUAAAGGAGGUGAGGUGACUAUGACGUAAAUGAAUUUUAUUGCUUGAACAAAUAUGUUGUAUUAGAUAAAUUGUACAAAUAAGAUAAAUCACAUAUAUUAAUCGGAAAGAUAAUUGAUUUUUCAAAACUAAAAUUGUUAAGUUAGUGGAUUAUACUCUUGCAUAAAAAUAAGAUGAAACAUUGUUCAUGUUGUAUAAGUGGCGUAAUGACUAAUACUAACUUGCAAGUGAUAGAGAUGGGAUUAAGGGGGAAAAUAAAGUAAUUUAAGUGGAAGAACUUAAAGGAAUAAAGAUAGUAUGUUUCAGCCUUUAGUAAGCUUUAAAGAGGACUUGAUUGAGAAAUGUUAUAAAUGGGUUCACAAGAAAGAAAAUCCACAAAAUAGCUAUGGUUUAAGGGUAACAAGAGAUUAUGAGUUGAAAAAGAAUUUAUAUAUACACACAUUGAUAAGUCACGACACAUAAUUAAAGGAGGACAUAACGAAAAUAAUGACAAGACCUUACUUGAAUUCAAAUAGAAGUAGGGAACUUAUGAUAGUGGUUAUCAAGUUCAUAGAUUGAGAACUUGACAGAAAUUGUUACUUAACUUCCAGAGGUGAUUAGGACUUGAAAAUGACUAAAUUAGAGAUAAAGAUCUUCAUGAAAGUUGUAGUUUAAGAUGUUAGCUUUUCAAAAAAAUUGACCUUGCUUAAUUUGAAGUUUUAUAACUCUAGAUAUGGAUUACAAACUGUCAAUGGGUGAAAUCAAAUCUUACUAGACAGAAUUGAUGACGUGCAGUGAUGGGUAAUUUUGAAUGUGUUCAUAACAGAACUAGGUCUUCCACCCUAAAGCAAAGUUGUAGAUUUGUAUCUUAUCUUUUCAAAGAGUUAAGUCAUGUUGAAAACUGAAGUCUAUAACUUUACUUAUGAUUAAAAUAGUAAGCAGGGCUCUUGAAUAAUAAUAAUAAUAAUAAUAAUAAUAAAAACAAAAACUGAUCUAGAAAAUGUUAUGAACCAAUUGAAGGAAUACAAUCGGGAAACGAAAUUAAUACAUGGUGAUGAAUUUAUGUGGAUGAAAUUGGAAUGGUAUGAGAAUGCUCGUCAUGGUCAACUUACGAGAGGUUACUAAUGGUAUCUCUUAAUUCCAAACAGGAGAGGCACCUGGAACAGGGACGACUGAAGGUUCAUGAACUCGGGUGAUUGAAGGAGCAGGUAGGUGUAUCACACCUCUUCUUUUCAAUUCACAUCAAAUUAAUGCUAGGAUAUAGAUUUUACGAAUUGCUAGUUAUGACAAGUUUUGUACUUGAAUAUGGACAUAUUGUGCACAAUGAAACUAGAUGGAUAUGUGAUAUGCAUGAUUUGUUACAAAGAUGUUGGUUGAUGAUAAAGAAUUGUUAAAUUGAAACUAGGAGGAGAAGUGAGAGGAAAUUAUCAUCAUAGUGUUAAUGAUUAAAGCUCUUCUGUGAAGAUACUUAGUUCCGUAACUAAAAUCGCAAUAGGAAUAGGGCUUGGCAACCAUGGUAACGAGGUUAAAGUCAGAUUAUGGUUUUGAUACUUAAUUACUAUGAUGAGUAACUAAGGAAAUGAUAUAGUUGGAUACUUAGUUCCCAAAAGAGGGACAACUAAGGUUAUGGUGUUAAUACCAAGUCAUUGUAAGAUUGGUGACUAUGGAUUCAGCGAAAUCGAUGCUUCAUUAUCAAAAUAUCAAUAAGUAAGGAAGUAAAUAUCGAACAAGAAUUAUUGGUAAUAAAGAAAAUAAGCUAUGAACAUGAAUCAUCAAUGAUGAAGGAAUUAAAUUAUAAGUAGGUGUUCUACACCUACAUCCUUUUUAAAUGUACAUAAUAGUGAAAGUUUGUUUAAUUUUUGGAUUAUAUAUAUAAAUGCUGCAAAAAAGAAAAACAUUUAAUGAAAUAGGUAAGAAAUGGAAACAGACUUGAUUAACUAUUCUGGUUAGGAAUAGUUAAUGAUAUCAAUGGAUUCCAUUGAUAUCGGCAUUUUCUGGAUUUGAUUAGUCGGUCCCGAGUACGGGAGGCUAAUGGUGUUAGUAGGGUUUACUAACAUCGGCAUGAUCACCCUAGGACAUAGGAAGAUAUUGAACUUGAUUAACUAUUUCGGGUUAAGAAUAGUUAAUGAUAUCGAUGGGCUACAUCGAUAUCGGCAUUUCCUUGAAACUUGAUUAGCUAUUCCAAGUAUGAAGGCUAAUGAUGUCAAGGAUCCUUGACAUCGACAUUCCUGAGGAUAUUUCAAAGUACUAUUAGGACUCGACCGACUAUUUUAUGUUAAGAAUAGUUAAUAAUAUCAAUGAGUUACAUUGAUAUCAACAUUCACGAUAAACUUGAUUAGUUGGUCCUGGUAAGGGAGACUAAUGAUACUAACAGGAUUCAUUAGUAUUGGCAUUACAAUCCCAAUGUUUUUGGGAAGAAAAAAAGAUUGAUUGACUAUUCAGUGAAGGAUACUUAAUGAUGCCAAUGAAUUGGUAUUGGCACUUGCUUGAAGAAAUUGUCCUUCGAUAUUAAUAUAUGAUAUUGGUUGAAAAUUAAAACACACAAGUUGUUUUUUCGAUAACUUAAGAUUUCCCCGGGGAGACUUUGUCAAAAUUUUAGUAGAAAUUUAGGUGAAUUUUUUCAAAAAAAAUUAUCGUGUUUUUCCCAUGUUACAAUUGUUAUGUUGUCUCGAUAAUUAGAAUGUUACAAUUAUGAAGAUAUAUUUCUAUAAUAUUAGCAAACAUUCAUCUUAUGUAUUGAAUUGUUGUUUUUUUUCGCUUUGUUUUUUAUCAACAUCUUAUUUUCUAAUGAUAUUAUUAAAUUAAUAUAGUUUAUUAAACUCACUCGAGCCAAUUAUCUUAAUAUUAUAUUUUUUUUAUUUUAAAAAAAUUAUCUUUUUUGAUAUUUUAUAUCAAAACAAAGUUUGACCCGCAUCGUAACGGACCAGCACUAUCUAAACAAUGAAAUUCAUUGCAUUUUUUUUAUAAAAAAAACAAACACAUGCUUUGUCAUCAGCCUUUUUUCUAAAGGCUAUAAUACAUGAUAUAUAUUCAUAAAAAUUUUCAUGCAAGUACAUAUGACAGCUAUAAUAUAUUUCUAUGUGAAAAAUAAUUUUUUUUAAACAUGACAAUAAUUAUAAACUCAAUACUAUUAAUGAGUACCCAGGCAAUUUUCAUUAUGACAUUUACUCACAAACUUUGCAUCUAUUAAUAACAGCCGUUAUAUAACAUAACAAUCAUUGUUUAAUGAAACUCCAGAAUCAGAUCUCCUCAUAGAAUUCCAGCCUUCCUUCGCCCGGGAAUGGUGACAGUUGUUGCCUACUUGCCUGCCUUGCGCAGCUUUGCUUUGAGUCCUUUCCUCUCUAGAUCUGACCUCGCCCAAGGGAAGGUGUAGGUAGCAUAGCGAGAUGCUUCACGCAAUUGCGCGAAAGACCACCUAAGCUCAAGCAGCAGAUACUACCACAUACAGGAGAAGAAGUUAUAGCUCCAGCUAUAGCGCUUAUUAGGAAUUGUCCAAUUCAAUGAAUUCCAGGGUACAAUUGUUUUGGGUCCUGACCGCUUAGAGUUGGGUCCUGCCCCCAGCAGGACCCAACAUAGCUUUGGGUACGGUUGCAUCCGGACCCAUUAUUAUCGGGUCCUAUUCCAGCAUGAUCCAAUAGAGUUUGAUUCUUCUCCCAGCAGAAUUCAAAAUAGCUUUGAUCCGGCUGAGAGCAGGACCCAUUCGAGUUGGGUGCUGCUGGAAGCAGACCCAUUCAAGAUGUACGAAGACCAAGCUGCAUAGAGCACACUCGCAUCAAACCACUUGUUAUCCACUAAUUGAAGACAUGGGAUAAAAAGAGAAAACCCAUUUGACCAUGUACAACAAUUUUAAAAAAAAUGAAGAACAAAACUCCAUAUCUCUAAUACCAAAAACCAAGAAAUUAAACUCACUUGUAACAAGACCUUCAAGAGCUCUGGCCCUGAGUUGCAAGAAAGGAAGAACUGAAAUACCCAAAAAAAGAACAGCUCUCUUCUUGCUGAAAACAAUGUCCUUUGGAUCCUCUUGACCCAUACAAGCAGAAACCACUCUCCUCCUCCCGGUCAUUUCAUUAUUAUUGCUGUUCUUCUUCACAUGAAAAGAAAGAGGUUGGGAAGAAGAAGAAGAAGAAGAAGUGGAGGAAGGAAAGUGAGAGUGUAAAACAUAAGAGAUUCCCAUUGAGAAGCACGUGGUCAUGGCUUUGUGUUCGGUUUCUUGAUUGAGAAUUUGUGAUAGAAAGGAUCGGUGCUGUGGUUCAGUGGGUUCUCUUCUCUUGCCUCUCUACAGUGUAAGCUUUUGUCUUUCUUCCCGUAUCGUGUUAUUUUUACUUUCGGCACACACAAUGACGUUAAUGCCCUUCCAAGUUGAAAAACAAUUGCCAAAUGUGUAUGCGAUCGGCUGCCGCUGCUAGUUAUGGAUGGCACUUGGCAGCAUCCGCUCAAAGGAAACAAUGUUCGAAUUAGUGAUAAAUAAAUAAAUAAAUAUAUAUAUGAAAGGAAACAAAAUUUAUAUUGAAAAAAAAAAGAUAUGUGUGAUAUUACAAGAAAAAAAAUCAAAAUUAAUAUAAAAAAAUUCCUACAAUAACAAUUCAAUUCAAAUUUAUUAAUCUAACUCUUCCAUUGUAAACAAGUUCACCAAUUAACCUUCUAAACUUAAAAAAAUCAUAAUUAUAAAAAUUAUUACAUUUAUGAUUGAUUAUUUAGUCAAAUAAAAAUUGUUAAGUAAAAGUAAUUUCAAAUGUUCAUUUUUUAAACUAAAAAAAAUUAGAGAGUUGCUUUUAAAAAGAAUAUUUUCCCCUUUUAUAUGCAUGUCAACAUUAUGUAAAGUGAGCAGUAAAAUCCAAUAAUUAGUACCACUCUCUUUGAUGAAAGGAUAUGGCAUGAUAAAAACAUAUUAUGAUCUAAUAUUAAAAAAAAUACAUUAACUUUUUAAACAACAAGAGGAAAUAAAUUAUGAAAAUUCCAAUAUGAUAUUGGUUGUGAAUAUUGAACUUUAUGUCUUGCUUAUAAGACACUAGUUCAUUGGUUCGCAUUACGCCGCGGGCCGGAUAAAUUUUUUAAAAUAUAAAAAAAAAUAUUAAGAGCAUGAAGAAUUUUUAGGUGUAUGCACGAGAUUCUGUUUUAUUAUAUUAUUUUUAUUUAAAAAUAUAUUAAAUUAAUUUUUAAUUUAAAUUUAAAUUUAUUAAAAAAUAUUAUUUUGAUAUUUUUUAAAAGUAAAUACAUCAUGUUUGAAAAUAUGUUAAAAGUUGCGUUUUGAGUUGUUUUUUCUCUCGAAAAUAUAUCAAAAUAAUUUUUUAUUUUUUAAAAUUUAUUUUUUACAUUAACACUUUAAAAUAAUAAAAUAAAUACAAAAAAAUUAAUUUUAAAAAAUUUUAUUUUCAAAUUUUAAACGAACAAUAUUUUAACCGCAUUUUCAAACACACUCGUUAAAAUCACGUAGAAACCAUAGCUACCACAAUCCUAAAGAUGAUCUUAGUAUGCUACAUAACAACUAGUUAUUCAAGUCCAACUAAAUAUUAAAGAUAUAUAUUUUAAUUUAUAAAAAAAAUAUAAAAAAAUAUAAAAUUAUAAUUUUUAUGUGAAACUAUAAUUUUAUAAUUUUUCCUAUUUGAUUCCAAAAUCACGGGUAAAAUGUGCAAGAAUGUGCGUGUGUUAAAGAGAUGCUGAUAACCGAAAGAUAAGUCUUUUUCCUAUUUGUUUUUGUGUCUCUCUCUGAAACAGGAAAUAUAAAAGUGUUGAAGGUAGGGUUUUGUUCCCAUGGUCGGCGUAUUAAUGGGCUUUAUAUUUCCUGAAUAGUUGAUUUCAGAACCAUAAUUAUAUUUCCUGAAUAGUUGAUUUCAGAACCAUAAUUUCUAAUUUUUAACACUUUUAGCCAACAACUAGGGUUUGCCCCUAUUCGACAACCCCGCCCGAGAGAAUACAUUGGAGAUUGCAAGUAUAAAUAAAGUAUAUUUUUAUUGGAACUUUUGUAACUUCUACCUGAAAUCCUAUUUUAAAUUUACAAUGGCCGUGCAGUUGCCAGACGACAUGAUAGUUGAAAUUCUAUGUCGAUUACCAGUAAAGGUGGUGAUGAGAUUGAAGGUUGUUUCAGAAGCAUGGCAUCGUCUCAUAUCUAAUGUUUGUGCCCCGCUAUUCUCGGCGGCCGCCGCGGCCCAUCCUUCAGGCUUUUUGUUCCUAUGUUCUUUUCAAAUAAUUGGUGGGUUGGGAUACUUUGCUGCGUAUGCUAGCUAUCCCGAUGUUCAUGAUUGCGUGGGCCAGACCGAUGGAUUUGUGGAUUCGUAUGCUUGUAUGUUGCCCUUCAUGCUUUCUUCCGAUCAUUAUUUUGAUUGUUGUAAUGGGUUGCUCUUGUUUGUUAGAAGAGAGCAACGAGAGGCUCUUCCGCAUUAUUAUUUUGUUUGCAACACCACUACCAGACAAUGCGUUGCAAUUCCUAAUCCCCGUCCACGAACUGCUCCAUUCGCCGCUGCAAUUGCCUAUGAUCCUGCCAAAUCUCCUCACUACAAAGUUGUUCGGUUUAUUUAUUUGGAAGAAAAGACUUCUUGCCCGGUAAAGCUGGAUAUAUUUUCUUCCGAUACCGGAAAGUGGGUUAGGCGCGGGGUCAUGUUAUCCACCGAACUUCCUCAUGCUGCUGCUGAUGCAGAUGAGUAUGGUUGUAUCAGGCGUUCUAUUUAUUUGGAUGGAAUGAUUUACAAGCUAUCCUUUGUCGUCAACUACCUCAUCAGGUUUGACUUAAAUGCGCCGAGCGAUGUGGCUAUUGAACUCCCGCACAAGAAUGCCGCUGACCGCCAUGGAUUCAUUGGGAUGUCUAGAGGAAGCUUGUAUUAUUCAAAUCAAGACGAGUCUGGAUUGAUGAUCUCCAUUUGGCUUUUGGAAGACCGUUGCAAACGUGAUCCUUUUUGGAAACUCACACAUAACAUCUCAGUGGACUCCUUGACGUCCAAAUAUCCUGACGUGCGUAAUUCAGGCUUUCAUUUUCAUACAUAUGCUAUUCAUCCAGCUUCUGAUAUUAUUUUUCUUGGAAACCCUACCAUGGUCAUAAGUUACGAUCUUAAAUCCAACAAAUCCGAAGAGGUUUUUACAUUGUCUAGCGGAUUACAAAUAUCAUCGGGCCAGCAUUUUGUACACCUCUACUCUCCCUGUUAUGCUGUUUUGAGUAAUUUUGAUAAUAAUUGUGGUUAAUAGUCCAGUUGCAAGCACUCUUUCUAUAAAAACUAUUUAUCAGAGCUCUCUGACAUGGCUAGUUAUGGAAUCUAAAACUUCAGGAAAGCUGUCUUGCAUUGAUGCUCUGUAUUCUAUUUUUUGAAUUGACGUGCUGGUUUGAUUAAUUUGUUGUAAGCUAAAACUGCUAAUUCUUCGCUUAAUUUGUUGUUUAGGAUACAAACUUCUUCGGCAUUUGUACUCUAUAUCAAUCAACAGAAGAAAAAUCAACCAUUUCUUCAAAAUAUAGACUGACAUGGAUUUGGGUUGCGAUUAACAGACAAUAUUGAUGAUCCGCCAUGGAAUAAAUACAUACAAACGUGUGUGUGCAUGUUGGCCUACGUUUCCUAUCCACAGAAGAAGAAAAAACAUAAACAUGUUCCACUGCAAACAACAAUAUUAUUUCAUUAAAAAUUCCUAUCCAACAAAUAGGAAUGAUCAUAAACAAUUAAAUGUCCAUUUCGUCCAAAUAAUCCUUGCUUGCUCAUUUAAGUCAAGUCGCAGCUAUUUCAGCUUCGGUAUGCGAAUUCUUAUCCAAAAGACCAAAUGUAUAAUGGUGGAUUCCAGGUUUGCUGGAGAAAGAAGCAGCAGAACCCAAAAUUUAAAAAGUCAAAGUUAUAUGUUGAGGUCAAACCAAGAAUUAAAAAUGGUAUGCCUCUGUGUCAAUGUAAUGCUUUCAAACAAAUAGAAUGUCAAUUAACAACAAUUUUCAGGAUGUUCGAAGCUUGAAUGAAGGUGUGACUGCCUUCUUGUCCUAGUUGUGUUGGCAUAAACUUAUCAUUUCUUCCCUUGUUUCCAUGCAGAUUUAGAUUCUGCAAAUGUUUGCAGCAUUCAUUCUAUCAAACAGCAACAUGGUUUAAUUCCUUUAGACCCAUUUCCCACCAAAUUUUAACCUAAAAGCACAGGUUUUCCAGCUUGAUCAGGGACCCCUCCUAUUGUGAAUCUUAACAGUUGAGAAUUGAAGUUUCUAAAUAGUCUGUGAAGUUCAACAUAGCAAGGCAGAAGUGUAAAGGGGGAAUAAAAAGACUGGCAUGCAAAUCAAAACUGCAAUUUUUUUAUGUUCAGGAAAGAGGAUGCCACUCACUGAAAUGGUCAACAAGUACUUCCACCAUUUUUGACAAUUUGGGACUAUGUGCACCAUGAGACAAGCUUCGUUGCAUUAAAAGCUUCACUUUCCUAAUAUCUUCAUUUUUACUCAUCAGUCUUGCAAAUGACCUGCAGCAAUCAAGUUAGAUCAGCUCAAGCCAUCUGUAUAACAAAAGGCAACCUAUCAAUGACCUUUAAUACUGCAGCAACAUUAAAUAUGUUCACAUUAAAAAAUUUCACCCAUCAGCCUAAGCACCAUUUGGUGAAAUUCAGAUGAUCAAAUCAAAUGCCAUAGCCAUUGUCAAAUCAUCAUACAGGGCAUCUCUACUUGGUAACCUGAGGGUAUGGGCUUUCAGUUAGAGAAGAACAUUAAAUCUUAAAGGAUCUUUUGCAAGGAGAACUCUUUAAUUCAAAUCCUCAUAGAAAUAUUAUUUUUCUCUUUAAUGCAAAUAUUACUUCUUCUGAUUCUACCCUUAUUCUUUUAAAGAGAUAUACAGAUAAGAUUUUAAAGAGCUAAGAUAUACGAACAGAAUUGGUUUUCACUUUGAUAACCAUCAGUCAUGCUUUGCAAAAUAAUUCUGCCGAGGCAGUUUGCCACAUCAGAUGAAUUGCUACACAUCAUUUUGCCUCUGUUGUAGUGUUUGAACAUAUCACACUUUGAUAAAAACAACAUGGCACUCCGACAGACAUGAAGCACCUCACUGCUCGACAAUCAGACUUUAGACUGAACACUUGACUGCCAUGCAGCCUCCCUGAAGUAAAAUUUGUGAUGGCAAGCAUUUUGAUCUGCACAAAGCACACAGGAGGAAACAGACAUAUUAUGGAUUGCUGAAACUAUUGUACGCUGAUAUUGUCUGCUAUUCGUCCUAAAAUGGAGGUUUAGUUAAAUGCAUCAAACUUCAAGUUUAGGAAGUUGCUCUGCACUGCAUACAACUAGCUUUGGGUUUGAAAUUUUACCCUGCUUUGAACAUUCCUAAUUCAGUGCUAUCGCCUAAGCUCAAGCCUCCUCUGCGCCAUCCUCUCCAACAGCUUCAAUCUCCUCCUUAUCAACAUUUUUCCUAGUCUCCUGCUCUUCUUUAUUGCCUUCCACAGACUCAUCGCACUGCCAAACAUAUUUAUCAUAAAUAGAGAAUCAAUGUCAUAUGAAAAGUGCAGUUACUUAUACUUCAAUAACCCAACUGACAGGCAUAGGGCAGGCAUGCAUAACGAGCAUACCUCGAAGAGGAGAGAGAGAUCCUUUGACGAAAGCAAAGAAUGAUAUUAGCUAGUAUUUGAUGAAGUAAAUAUGAAAAUAAAAUGACAGUCCUAUAAAAGGUUGGAAAAAAAAAAACAGUUGACGAUGCCCUUGGAGUUGGUUAAUAUAUUACCUGAACUAGGGCAAAACUUCUUCAGCAGAAGGACAGUCAUCAGGGUUUACAGACAUCAUGUCCGAGAUAAGAGAUUUGAGAGGUUUGUACCGCUCAUUUUCCCAAUCAUUCGGAAAUUCUAUGCUUUUCAAUUUAUCUAAAUUCUAUUUUCUUUCUGUGCCGGAUAUUGUGAGGGUGCAGCAGCAUGAACACAAUAAUUCAUAAACUGUAUAUAUCUGCUUUUGCAUCGAUGGAGCCUUUUAAGUUUUGUUUCCUUGAGCGUCAACUUGAAUUUUUUAACUUUUCUUACAAAAUACCGUUGCCAAAAAAAAAUUAAUAAGAAAUAAACAAUCAACUUGGAACAAUAAAAGCUAAGAUUGAUCAAGUUAGAUUCACAUUCAAAUUUAAACUGUUCACUAAUUCCGAAAUCUUCUAUUUUGAUCUCCUUCUCGUCCUGGAAAGCUCCCACAAAAAUGUAUUUUGUGGCAAGGUCUCAGUGAACAAAUUGAUUUGUAUGGAUGAAGCGUAAUCCUUCAACAAUUUGUCUGGCUAUCAAGAAGCGUCUUUUGAGAUUAGUCUUUGUAGAAAGCAGAUCAUGAAAAGUCUUGGUGACAAAAUGAGAUUACUGUAAGCGAUUGUAUAUAAAAAGAAGAAAUGCAUAUCACCUCACAUUGGACAGCACUCCAUCUGUAUAAACAACUCUUCAUGACAUGCAUGGCUCAAGUUCUGCUGGUCUAGAUCUUGCAGAGUUUGGUAUUCAAUAUUCUAUAUCUCUAAUCUCUCUUUCUCUGUUUUUUUUUUUCCAAAUGAGUUUAGAAGGCAUGUUCUAUGUAAUCAAACACAACCUCUCUCUGCCCUUCCAAAAUACAGCUAAAAGACAUGUUCUUGAGGAGAUUAAAUGUCUAGGUAAAACUUACGUUGUUCUUGUUUUUCAUAGUUUGCUUGUUUUUAGAAUAUUCUUAUUUAUUUUUUUGUACAUAAGCCAUGGUACAUAUGGAACAGUAAUGAAAUGUAAACAUAAACUUGAUCAUAUAAAAUAUGUUGUAAAGAGAAUCAAAGUUGGUUACCACGACAUAAAAGUGAUAUUAAGGUAUUAAAUCUCUUUUUUUUAAUUUUAUCUGUGUUAUGUUGUGUUGUGCUGUGUUGUUUUAUUUUAUUUUAAGGUUAGGUUUUAUAACUCUUUCCUCUAAUGGGUGAUUAUUACAUGUUAAAAGAUCUGUUAUGUUGUAAUGUGCAGAGAAGCAUCUACUCAUGCUCAAAUGCAUCACAAAAAAUACCUGAUGGUAGCGCACAAUAUUUUUGUGAUGCAUCUUAGCAUGAGUAGAUGCUUCUCUACACAUUACAACAUAACAGAUUUUUUUUAGCGUGUAAUAAUCAACCAUCAAAUGAAAUAAAACAACACAGCACAGCACCACAGCACAGCCCAGAUAAAAUCAAAACAAGAGAUAUCUUAAUAUAACUUCUCUGUCAUGGUAACUAAUUUUGAUUUUUUUUACUGCAUAUUCUAUAUGAUCAAGUUUAUGUUUACAUUUCAUUACUCUUCCAUAUGUAGCAUGGCCUAUAUAAAAAAAAAUAACCAAGAAUAUUUUAAAAACAAGAAAACUAUGAAAAACAAGAAAAGCAUAGCACACAGCACAGCGUAAGUUUUACCUAGACAUUGAAUCUCCUCAAAGUCCUCCUUGUAUCGGCGGUCAGAAAUCUUUUGCUGAGGACUCUCUGAAUCAGAGCUGCUGUCGCUGUCGCUGCCGCUGCCGCUGCCGCUGCCGCUGUCGCCUCCAAAAAACUUCGAUGUAAGCUAAAAUAACAAGGCCAAAACUCAGUUUAAUUAAAUGUUUCUAGCUAUUUAAAAACAGAGCUACUGCUAUUUUAUCUUGUUCUCUCUCACCAUUGCGCUGUUUUGGACAGUCUCUAACUAGAGAGAAAAGGAAAGAAACAAAAGAGAAAACGAUUUAAAACAUAUGCUCUUCUCACCACUCCACUGUUAUAGUGCGAGGAGAGGAUUGACUCAGGCCUUUUCAUUCAGUUACAUAACAGCUGAGAGCGUGCAAUGGUCCCCUUCGCCUAGGGAGCUGCUACCUGUACUAUAAAAAAAACAGUGUGGUAUACGGGACAUGUGGAGAAUGUUUUUCUUCCCCUUUUCCCUUCAUAUAUGUGAUGUGCUUGCUGUUUUUUUAAUGUUGUCACCCAUAAAUUAAAUUAAUUUUCUUUUGUCUUUCAUUUAUCAUGAUUUUACAAUUAAAAUUUAGUAUUAAUUAAUAGCAACUUAAUCCUAUUUACAAGAGAAAACUUAAACGAUGGGUUUCAUUUGACAAGUCAACUAAAUACUUAACAUCUGCAUUUGAACGGAAAGACUUCCUCAAGUAACAUGAGACAAGUAGAAGGACUAAAUUGAAAAAUAUUAAUUGAUAAGAAACAAUUACGUACGGAAGAAAAUAUUAACAGGACAAGAACCAAGUAAUAAUCGACAGCAAGAGCACACUCGCAUCAAACCACUUGUUACCCACUAAUUGAAGACAUGGGAUAAAAAGAGAAAACCCAUUUGACCAUGUACAACAAUUUUAAAAAAAAUGAAGAACAAAACUCCAUAUCUCUAAUACCAAAAACCAAGAAAUUAAACUCACUUGUAACAAGACCUUCAAGAGCUCUGGCCCUGAGUUGCAAGAAAGGAAGAACUGAAAUACCCAAAAAAAGAACAGCUCUCUUCUUGCUGAAAACAAUGUCCUUUGGAUCCUCUUGACCCAUACAAGCAGAAACCACUCUCCUCCUCCCGGUCAUUUCAUUAUUAUUGCUGUUCUUCUUCACAUGAAAAGAAAGAGGUUGGGAAGAAGAAGAAGUGGAGGAAGGAAAGUGAGAGUGUAAAACAUAAGAGAUUCCCAUUGAGAAGCUCGUGGUCAUGGCUUUGUGUUUGGUUUCUUGAUUGAGAAUUUGUGAUAGAAAGGAUCGGUGCUGUGGUUCAGUGGUUCUCUUCUCUUGCCUCUCUACAGUGUAAGCUUUUGUCCUUCUUCCCGUAUCGUGUUAUUUUUACUUUCGGCACGCACAAUGACGUUAAUGCCCUUCCAAGUUGAAAAACAAUUGCCAGAUGUGUAUGCGAUCGGCUGCCGCUGCUAGUUAUGGAUGGCACUUGGCAGCAUCCGCUCAAAGGAAACAAUGUUCGAAUUAGUGGCAAAAUUUAUUUAUUUUAUUUUACACGUUUAUAUAUAUAUAUAUAUAUAUAUAUAUGAAAGGAAACAAAAUUUAUAUUGAAAAAAAAAAGAAAUGUGUGAUAUUACAAGAAAAAAAUCAAAAUUAAUAUAAAAAAUUCCUACAAUAACAAUUCAAUUCAACUUUAUUAAUCUAACUCUUCCAUUGUAAACAAAUUGACCAAUUAACCUUCUAAACUCAAAAAAAUCAUAAUUAUAAAAAUUAUUAUAUUUAUGAUUGAUCAUUUAGUCAAAUAAAAAUUGUUAAGUAAAGAUAAUUUAAAGUGUUUAUUUUUUAAACUAAAAAAAAUUACAGAGCUACUUUGAAAAAAAUUAUUUUCUCCUUUUAUUUACAUGUCAACAUUAUAUAAAGUUAGCAGUAAAAUUCAAUAAUUAAUAUCACCCUCUAAAAGGAUAUGGCAUGAGAAAAACAUAUUAUGAGUUAAUAUUAAAAAAAAAAAAUACAUUAACUUUUUAAACAACAAGAGGAAAUAAAGAGUAAGAAAUUAUGAAAAUUCCAAUAUGAUAUUGGUUGUGAACAUUGAACUUUAUGUCUUGCUUAUAAGACACUAGUUCAUUGGUUCGCACUACAUCGCGGGCCGGAUAAAUUAUUUAAAAUAUAAAAAGAAUAUCAAGAGCGUGAAGUGUUUUUUAACUGUUUUAUUCAACCUUAUGUAGUAGGUCAAUUUUGAGAUCCUGCAAUAUGGCUAUUUGCAAGACUCGAGUUUCAAACUAAAUCGCGCAGAAGUUAGCCCGAAUUAAAUUGAUUGAUUUAAUGGAUCCAGAUGCAAUCUUAAUAAUUGGUAAAAACAUGACCUAACUUUUAAAAAAAUUUCAAGAUGAUAACUUUUUUAACAAAAACUAUUGAGACAAUGACAUAUUAAAUCAAUCUCAGUCCCCCAGCAAAUCGUGUCAUGAACUCCAUUGAGUUUACUAAAUUUUUUUUAUAAAAUAUAUAUUUUUUUAAUUAUAUGAUAAAAAUAUAUGGUAACAAAAUGAGCACCAACCUAAAAAUAAAAAUUUAUUUAAGACAAUGAUAACCCUAUAAAAAAAAAUCAUGCAGUUUUCCCUCCCAACCAAUCAAAUAUUAAAUGAUGCCCAGGCCCUAAGUAGUGUGGCAUAGAUUGCUUAUACUGUAGCUAUUUUGGUCCUGCACGGUGCUGCACCUAAAGCCAUUUUGGAUCUUGUGUCCAAAGGUGCUGGGUAUGACUACGUAGCCAUACCCAAGGCUAUUGAGUAUGGUUGUGUUGCCAGACCCAGUAGCGCGCCAUACACCCUGAGGGCCGUUCCCUACUAUGUUGUUGGUCAAAGUUUGCAGCUAUGACGUUGCCUUCUCUUCCCAGAGCUGCUGGGAGACCCCACAAAGUGUUUGACUGUGGGUUAUUGGGUCCUGCUGACACCAGGACCUCAUUUUGUUGGGUCCUGCUCAACCCUUUAAAGUUGGGUCCUGCCUCAAGCAGAACCCAAGCACUGGGGCCGUUGCCUUCUCUACCAAAAGACCCAACAGCAUUAAUUUUUUGAAUUUGUAAUUUUUAAAAUAAUUUUUGACAAGCAAGACCUGAGAAAUUUUAAAAAAAUUUAAUUAACCUUAAAUUAAUUUUUUUUUUUAUUUUUUUGUAUUACUUUUAAAAUAUUUUUUUAAAAAUAUAUAUUGAGAUUGUGUCUUGAAAUUUUUAAUUAUUUUUUUCUUGACUUUAAAUUUUGAAGACACAAUUUGAAUAUAUUUUUUAAAAGAAAAUAUUUAAAGAAUAAUAGAAAAACAUCAAAAGCAAAGGAAAAAAAUAAAAAGUUUUCAGGACACGAUCUCAAUAUAAUUUUUUUUAAAAGCAUAAUGUUUAAAAAAUCAAUAUAAAAAAAUCAAUUUCACUUAAAGAAAAAAAUAAAAAAUUUUCAAAGUUCCUAGCUCUUGCCUCGCAGUUAGACAAUCUCAAUUUUUUUUUUUAAAAUAACACAAAAACAUACAAAAAAAAAUAAAAUAAAAAAGUAAAUCAAAAAAUUAAAAAUUCUCAAAUUUCCAUGGUGCUAAUGGAAAAUUAGUCUUUUUUCAGAAGUGCAAGGCUAAAUAUAUAUUACAUGGCUUACAAACCUUUAUUCAUUUCCUCUUUCGAUUUGUAUCUUCUUCUUCUUCAUUUUGAUUAUUAUAAUCAAAUCAAUUAUGAUUAUUAUUGACAUGGUGAUGGGUCAUGGUUUCUACGAACCAACUCCAUUUAAAAGGUCAUCAUCACAUGAAUUACAACCCAAAAAUGGCAUAUGGUCAGAGAAAAAUACAGAAACCAGGUAAUAUAUGUACAUCCACAGAAAAGGGAAUAGUCAAAGCGUGCAAACAUACAAACACAUAUGAGAUUUAAUUGUGGCCCCCGAAUCCAUUUCUUAUGACACGGUAUUGGUUUUGCAUGAUUAAUGUAAAUGUCUUGAAUGAACAUAUAAAGAUUAAAGAUCUCCUUGACUGCAUAAACUAAAUAUAUACCUCCUUCGACUGAUUAAAUUUGUACAAUUAACUGCUUCAUUUUUUUCUGUACCACUUUGGCCAAUAUUAUAUGACAAACUGGAGAAAAUUAUAAAAUUUCUGCAACCCUUGAGUUUUGUGGAUCCUUGGUUUCUGCAACCACAUAAACAAGUUCCUCUGCAAACACCGAUAUAAUUAUUCCAUUCAAAAUUCCUAUCCAACGAACAGGAAUGAUCAUAAACAAGUUUCAUUGCAGGAAAAAAUCAUUAUUUUCUUCAAAAUCCAUAUUUACAAUCCAACACCAAUGCAUUUAGACAUUUAAAUGUCCACAUCAUCCAAAUAAUCCUUGCAUGCUCAUUUAAGUCAGAUCGUAGCUAAUUCAGCUUCAGAAUGCACAUUCUUAUCCAAAAGACCAAAGGAAUAAUGGUAGAUUCCAGGUUUGCUGGAGAAAGAAGCAACAGAAACUCCAAAAGACCUUUAACACUGCAGCACCAUUAAAUAUGUUCACAUUAAAAAAUUUCACCCCUCAGCCUAAGCACCAUUUGGUGACAUUCAGAUGAUCAAAACAAAUGCCAUUGCCAUUGUCAAAUCAUCAUACAGGGCAUCUCUACUCGGUAACCUGAGGGUAUGGGCUUUCAGUUAGAGAAGAACAUUAAAUCUUAAAGGAUCUCUUGCCAGGACAACUCUUCAAUUCAAAUCCUCAGAGAACCCCAAGUCCAUACAAGAAAGCUCAAUAGCCUCCCCCCAAUGAAAACUUUCAAAAGAUAAACAACAUAAUCUUCUGGCAUCGAAACAUUUCAUCUUUUACUAUAACCCCUUCCGGUCGAUAGAUAACAGUGAUAAUGGAGCGAAAAUGUACAUUGAAAGAAAUGUUAUUAUUGCCUGAGAAUUUAUUGAAUAAAGGAAAGCAGUAACAUUAACAUACUAGAGUUAACACAAUGAAGAAAAUUGAACGAAUUUGUAAUUUAUCAAGUCAUACAGUUUGAUAGUCUCUAUUAUGGAGAAGUCCAAGUGUAGAAAGCCUUGCCACAUAUGGACGCAUCACUUCCAAUAGCCGUU
RNAcentral lists this long non-coding RNA (26109 nucleotides) under Populus trichocarpa (black cottonwood). Its description in RNAcentral is "long non-coding RNA (PTRI_LNC003125)". The record is from RNAcentral. Lineage: Eukaryota; Viridiplantae; Streptophyta; Magnoliopsida; Malpighiales; Salicaceae.